Molecule: ribosomal RNA, 807 nt
Filed under: Halobacillus halophilus
Lineage: Bacteria; Bacillati; Bacillota; Bacilli; Caryophanales; Bacillaceae
Description: bacterial SSU rRNA
Rfam family: Bacterial small subunit ribosomal RNA
Source: RNAcentral
GACGAACGCUGGCGGCGUGCCUAAUACAUGCAAGUCGAGCGCGGGAAGCAAGCGGAUCCCCUUCGGGGGUGAAGCUUGUGGAACGAGCGGCGGACGGGUGAGUAACACGUGGGCAACCUGCCUGUAAGACCGGAAUAACCCCGGGAAACCGGGGCUAAUGCCGGAUAACACCUACCUUCACCUGAAGGAAGGUUAAAAGAUGGCUUCUCGCUAUCACUUACAGAUGGGCCCGCGGCGCAUUAGCUAGUUGGUGAGGUAAUAGCUCACCAAGGCGACGAUGCGUAGCCGACCUGAGAGGGUGAUCGGCCACACUGGGACUGAGACACGGCCCAGACUCCUACGGGAGGCAGCAGUAGGGAAUCUUCCGCAAUGGACGAAAGUCUGACGGAGCAACGCCGCGUGAACGAUGAAGGUCUUCGGAUCGUAAAGUUCUGUUGUUAGGGAAGAACAAGUACCGUNCGAANAGAGCGGUACCUUGACGGUACCUAACGAGGAAGCCCCGGCUAACUACGUGCCAGCAGCCGCGGUAAUACGUAGGGGGCAAGCGUUGUCCGGAAUUAUUGGGCGUAAAGCGCGCGCAGGUGGUUNCUUAAGUCUGAUGUGAAAGCCCACGGCUCAACCGUGGAGGGUCAUUGGAAACUGGGGAACUUGAGGACAGAAGAGGAGAGUGGAAUUCCACGUGUAGCGGUGAAAUGCGUAGAUAUGUGGAGGAACACCAGUGGCGAAGGCGACUCUCUGGUCUGUUUCUGACGCUGAGGUGCGAAAGCGUGGGUAGCAAACAGGAUUAGAUACCCUGGUAGUCCACGC